This is a small nucleolar RNA of Polyodon spathula (Mississippi paddlefish), 78 nucleotides long. RefSeq annotates it as small nucleolar RNA SNORD79. Lineage: Eukaryota; Metazoa; Chordata; Actinopteri; Acipenseriformes; Polyodontidae. The record is from RefSeq and is a predicted model, not a curated record. The transcript has a single exon.
UGCUGUUAAUGAUGAAUGUAAAAAGAUGGGAAUCUCUCUGAAAUGCAAUGAAAGAGAACCCUUUUUACUGAAAUUGCA